Molecule: ribosomal RNA, 458 nt
Filed under: uncultured bacterium
Lineage: Bacteria
Description: partial 16S ribosomal RNA
Rfam family: Bacterial small subunit ribosomal RNA
Source: RNAcentral
CCUACGGGUGGCAGCAGUGAGGCAUAUUGGUCAAUGGCCGGAAGGCUGAACCAGCCAUGCCGCGUGAAGGUCAGUGCCCUAUGGGCGUUAAACUUCUUUUGUGCGGGAGCAAUAAUGGUCACGUGUGGCCAGACGAGAGUACCGUACGAAUAAGCAUCGGCUAACUCCGGGCCAGCAGCCGCGGUAAUACGGGGGGUGCGAGCGUUAAUCGGAAUCACUGGGCGUAAAGCGCGCGUAGGCGGCUUGUCAAGUCAGGGGUGAAAUCCCACGGCCCAACCGUGGAACUGCCUUUGAAACUGUAGAGCUUGAGUGUCGGAGAGGGUGGGGAAUUCCAGGUGUAGGAGUGAAAUCCGUAGAUAUCACGCAGAACUCCGAUUGCGAAGGCAGCUUACUAAGCCAUAACUGACACUGAAGCACGAAAGCGUGGGGAUCAAACAGGAUUAGAUACCCCUGUAGUC